Macrosteles quadrilineatus (aster leafhopper) is the source of this 713-nucleotide long non-coding RNA. RefSeq lists it as uncharacterized. The record is from RefSeq and is a predicted model, not a curated record. NCBI's taxonomy places the organism in Eukaryota, Metazoa, Arthropoda, Insecta, Hemiptera, Cicadellidae. The transcript has 2 exons.
UCCGCCUUCUGUCACAUUUUCACCAGAAGGCCGGCGAUUGUCGAUUUGUCAAGACUUGGUUAUCUUCGAUGAAUAUCAGUGUUCAUCCUUCAAUGUCACUGUUAAUUUUGUUCUUCUGUUCGUCGUCAAUUCAAGUCAUGAUUUAAGUGUUUUGCCAGUCGUCAGAUGAGGUCCCGGAUGGGAGGUUUCGUUUUGCUGCUGUCCUCGGAGAGGGUCGCCUGGGGGGACACUCCAUCUUCCACCUCCUGGGGCUGCCAAUGGCCCAGCUUCUCCGGGGAUCAUUAAGCUACGCACCGUCAUCCACCACCACCGCCUGCCACCAGCAAGGAACAUGUUGUGCCACGCAAUACGCAAGUUAUAGCCUACUUUGAAAUUACGAACAUUUUAAAAGACUUUAUAUUUGAAAGGGGCCCCGCAAUAUGAUUGAUUCUUCGUUAUUUAUUUUUAUAGUAUUGUUAUUUAUUUAAUUGUUAAUUUUUUCAAAGUUUAAAGUUAUUUACAGUUACCAUCUUUAAUUAUUUCAUUGUUAGGCCUAAUUUGUUACUGGUACCAGUUUUUGUAAUUCAGAAGGGUAAACUUAAAAUGCUUAUUUAUUUAAUUUUUUGAGAAAGCCUUAAGAGAUUUAAAAGAUAAAUUCUUUGGAUGGAGGAAAUGAUGUUGUUUGUUGUAAUUGUUGAAUUUUUGAGAUUAAUUAUAGGCUUUGUUGACAACUG